Molecule: ribosomal RNA, 803 nt
Filed under: Staphylococcus sp. B-132-1-4
Lineage: Bacteria; Bacillati; Bacillota; Bacilli; Caryophanales; Staphylococcaceae
Description: bacterial SSU rRNA
Rfam family: Bacterial small subunit ribosomal RNA
Source: RNAcentral
UGACGUUAGCGGCGGACGGGUGAGUAACACGUGGAUAACCUACCUAUAAGACUGGGAUAACUUCGGGAAACCGGAGCUAAUACCGGAUAAUAUAUUGAACCGCAUGGUUCAAUAGUGAAAGACGGUUUUGCUGUCACUUAUAGAUGGAUCCGCGCCGCAUUAGCUAGUUGGUAAGGUAACGGCUUACCAAGGCAACGAUGCGUAGCCGACCUGAGAGGGUGAUCGGCCACACUGGAACUGAGACACGGUCCAGACUCCUACGGGAGGCAGCAGUAGGGAAUCUUCCGCAAUGGGCGAAAGCCUGACGGAGCAACGCCGCGUGAGUGAUGAAGGUCUUCGGAUCGUAAAACUCUGUUAUUAGGGAAGAACAAAUGUGUAAGUAACUAUGCACGUCUUGACGGUACCUAAUCAGAAAGCCACGGCUAACUACGUGCCAGCAGCCGCGGUAAUACGUAGGUGGCAAGCGUUAUCCGGAAUUAUUGGGCGUAAAGCGCGCGUAGGCGGUUUUUUAAGUCUGAUGUGAAAGCCCACGGCUCAACCGUGGAGGGUCAUUGGAAACUGGAAAACUUGAGUGCAGAAGAGGAAAGUGGAAUUCCAUGUGUAGCGGUGAAAUGCGCAGAGAUAUGGAGGAACACCAGUGGCGAAGGCGACUUUCUGGUCUGUAACUGACGCUGAUGUGCGAAAGCGUGGGGAUCAAACAGGAUUAGAUACCCUGGUAGUCCACGCCGUAAACGAUGAGUGCUAAGUGUUAGGGGUUUCCGCCCCUUAGUGCUGCAGCUAACGCAUUAAGCACUCCGCCUGGG